Molecule: ribosomal RNA, 466 nt
Filed under: uncultured bacterium
Lineage: Bacteria
Description: partial 16S ribosomal RNA
Rfam family: Bacterial small subunit ribosomal RNA
Source: RNAcentral
GGGGGGGGGGGGGGGGGGGCGGGGCGGGUGCGAGGCGAACGGAGGGGCCCAAGCUGGCUUGGGUGCUCGAGGGGCGAACGGGUGAGUAACACGUGGGGGAUCUGCCCUGCACUUCGGGAUAAGCCUGGGAAACUGGGUCUAAUACCGGAGAGGCCCACAUCUUGGUUGGGGUGGUGGAGAGUUUUUCGGUGUGGGAGGAGCUCGCGGCCUAUCAGCUUGUUGGUGGGGUAAUGGCCUACCAAGGCGUCGACGGGUAGCCGGACUGAGAGGGUGUACGGCCAGAAUGGGACUGAGAUACGGCCCAGACGCCUACGGGAGGCAGCAGUGGGGAAUAUUGCACAAUGGGCGCAAGCCUGAUGCAGCGACGCCGCGUGGGGGAUGACGGACUUCGGGUUGUAAACUCCUUUCGCGAGGGACGAAGCGUUAUGUGACGGUACCUGGAGAAGAAGCACCGGCUAACUACGUG